This 253-nucleotide ribosomal RNA is filed under the name uncultured bacterium. RNAcentral's name for it is "partial 16S ribosomal RNA". It matches the Rfam family "Bacterial small subunit ribosomal RNA", at positions 524 to 776 of the family's 1533-position model. The record is from RNAcentral.
UACAGAGACUGCAAGCGUUAUUCGGAUUCACUAGGCGUAAAGGGUGCGCAGGCGGCCGUGUGUGUGAGGCGUGAAAGCCCGGGGCUUAACCCCGGAAUUGCACCUCAAACUACAUGGCUAGAGCAUUGGAGAGGGUAGCGGAAUUCACGGUGUAGCAGUGAAAUGCGUAGAUAUCGUGAGGAACACCAGAGGCGAAGGCGGCUACCUGGACAAUUGCUGACGCUCAGGCACGAAAGCGUGGGGAGCAAAAGGG